GAUGAACGCUGGCGGCGUGCCUAAUACAUGCAAGUCGAGCGAACAGACGAGGAGCUUGCUCCUCUGACGUUAGCGGCGGACGGGUGAGUAACACGUGGAUAACCUACCUAUAAGACUGGGAUAACUUCGGGAAACCGGAGCUAAUACCGGAUAAUAUAUUGAACCGCAUGGUUCAAUAGUGAAAGACGGUUUUGCUGUCACUUAUAGAUGGAUCCGCGCCGCAUUAGCUAGUUGGUAAGGUAACGGCUUACCAAGGCGACGAUGCGUAGCCGACCUGAGAGGGUGAUCGGCCACACGGGAACUGAGACACGGUCCAGACUCCUACGGGAGGCAGCAGUAGGGAAUCUUCCGCAAAGGGCGAAAGCCUGACGGAGCAACGCCGCGUGAGUGAUGAAGGUCUUCGGAUCGUAAAACUCUGUUAUUAGGGAGGAACAAAUGUGUAAGUAACUAUGCACGUCUUGACGGUACCUAAUCAGAAAGCCACGGCUAACUACGUG
This 497-nucleotide ribosomal RNA is filed under the name uncultured bacterium. Its description in RNAcentral is "partial 16S ribosomal RNA". It matches the Rfam family "Bacterial small subunit ribosomal RNA", at positions 28 to 507 of the family's 1533-position model. The record is from RNAcentral.